Molecule: long non-coding RNA, 387 nt
Organism: Sinocyclocheilus grahami
Lineage: Eukaryota; Metazoa; Chordata; Actinopteri; Cypriniformes; Cyprinidae
Exons: 3
Source: RefSeq, a predicted model, not a curated record
UCCAUCUUAAUAUAUUUUUUUAGGCAACUCAGGUUAUUAAAGGGUUAUGAGGCUGUUGUAUAGGACAUGUCUUUGCUUGUGUGUGUGUUGUUUACAAGUAAAUUUAAGUUGAAUAAUUUUUUGUUUUUUUUUACAGGCAUACGCUUGGGAGUCUGAGACUGGAUGAAGGGCAAACAUUUGACUGUGAGUCUGAGACUUGAUGAAGGAUCAUUAGACAGCUGAGUUCAAUCAGUGUCCGGGUCAUAGGGUGGAAGAUGUAGGAGCGAGGAAACAAUUUCGCUGCAAUUGGAGAUGCAGAUCCACCGGUCAGUGUGGUUUGGCCUAUUAAACGGAUAGUUCACCCAAAAAUGAAAAUUCGGUCAUUAAUUACUCACUUUCAUGUCGUUC